GCCGGGCCCGCGGGGGCGAGCUGAAAACAAGGAUGGAACAGGCAUCGGGACCUUUCUGUGUGUGUGUGUGCACAGAUGUUACACACACAUACGUUACACACACAGACGUUACACAAAUCCCCAUAUGUUGCCGGCGCUCCCUCGCCCGGAGAGAAGCGAGGCCGGUGUGGACCUCUGAGCCGAGUCCUCCUUACGGUUUUCCUAGACUGGCUCUUUAUGUGGCAUCUGGGAUACAACAGCCUCAGGAAAGGUCUCUGUUAGUCCUUGACCACACCUGUGCCUGAGACCUUCCAGAGGAGCACUGUUCACGUCUUCCACUUCCAGAGCUGAAGGCCCACCCUUUCCCCGUUCUUCCUGGAUGGAUCUCACCAGAAGGGUGGCACCAGGAAGAGAAAAGAGCAAGAUACAGGGAAUGGAGAUUGUAUCAAGAGUCUGAAAGGCCUGUCUUUCCCUUCAUUCUCCAAACAAAAAGCUUUUUAUAGCCAGGUCUCGC
Heterocephalus glaber (naked mole-rat) is the source of this 493-nucleotide long non-coding RNA. NCBI's taxonomy places the organism in Eukaryota, Metazoa, Chordata, Mammalia, Rodentia, Bathyergidae. The record is from Ensembl.